GGUUUAAUUUAAACUAUUUGCUACACAUCAAAUCAAUAAUUUUGCGUUCUGUGUAAACCACGUGACCACUGACGUAAUCGAGGUUGGGUUUGAGAAUUUUACGAUCGACGGCCAUCUUGUUUUCCUCACAUCCAGACUGCGGCUGACAGCAGUUCCACAAUAUCGGACGGGGUACUGCUGAACAACAAUUAGGACAGGUUUUGAAUAAUCCAGUCACAUGAAAAACAUUAAUGCAGAAUUUUUUCGCAUCACGACCUUACCUCUACAAUCAAGAUUUAUGGCCUCUUUGGACUGACAGACAGCUCUCAGCUUCUCCAGGUUAUUAGGAGCAAAGGUGGAGCCCUCCGUGAGAAAACUAAGGACACUAUUAAAGUUAUGGAUCAGAGUUUGGACAUAGACAUCAGAAGAGAGUGCCUGCUGAAGUGCCUGAUCACAUACCUUGGUGAAGAUGCAAGACGUCUGAUCAAAGAAUACCAGGCUGACCAGAGGGAGGAAGCAGAGAGAGAAUUUGAAAAGACCACCAUGGCGUUUUUUUGUGAUCCGUGAAACUGAUGCUCUUAGUCGUGCACUGGACAUUUCCAUUGUCAUUGACGGUGUGGAAGUACUCAAUGAAUUGCCCUCUGUUGCAUGUGCCUGUGUAUUUGUAUCAGGAUGUUAUUAUGACAAAAUAAACUGUCAAAUGUUU
Long non-coding RNA from Carassius auratus (goldfish), 685 nucleotides. RefSeq lists it as uncharacterized. The record is from RefSeq and is a predicted model, not a curated record. The transcript is spliced from 5 exons. Lineage: Eukaryota; Metazoa; Chordata; Actinopteri; Cypriniformes; Cyprinidae.